ACAGCAGUAGCCGCGGUAAUACGUAGGGUGCGAGCGUUAAUCGGAAUUACUGGGCGUAAAGCGUGCGCAGGCGGUUUUGUAAGACAGGCGUGAAAUCCCCGGGCUCAACCUGGGAAUGGCGCUUGUGACUGCAAAGCUAGAGUGCGGCAGAGGGGGAUGGAAUUCCGCGUGUAGCAGUGAAAUGCGUAGAUAUGCGGAGGAACACCGAUGGCGAAGGCAAUCCCCUGGGCCUGCACUGACGCUCAUGCACGAAAGCGUGGGGAGCAAGCAGGAUUAGAUACCCCAGUAGUCCCUGUCUCUUAUAC
This 305-nucleotide ribosomal RNA is filed under the name uncultured bacterium. Its description in RNAcentral is "partial 16S ribosomal RNA". It matches the Rfam family "Bacterial small subunit ribosomal RNA", at positions 506 to 807 of the family's 1533-position model. The record is from RNAcentral.